UCAAACUUGGUCAUUUAGAGGAAGUAAAAGUCGUAACAAGGUUUCCGUAGGUGAACCUGCGGAAGGAUCAUUAGUGGUGUCUUGAAGGUUUAUUUUAUUGACUGCGAAGCAGGGGGGUAUGUGGUGGUGUGUUGGGUGUUGCGGUGCUGGUCGUGGUGUUGGGUGUCAUGGUGCCGGUGGUUCCGUGGCGCCCAGUGGGUGUCAUGGUGCCGGUGGUGCCAUGGCGUCCAGCAUCACAGUCGUGGCACGCGGCAUCCGCGCACACCAUCACCAUAUGACAACACGCCAAAACAACACAAAUCACAACACCAAAACACACAACGCCAUACAACUCCCAGCAGCGGAUCUCUUGGCUCCUGCAUCGAUGAAGAACGCAGC
This 378-nucleotide unclassified non-coding RNA is filed under the name uncultured fungus. RNAcentral describes it as "partial contains small subunit ribosomal RNA, internal transcribed spacer 1, and 5.8S ribosomal RNA". The stretch from base 1 to 73 matches the Rfam family "Eukaryotic small subunit ribosomal RNA", at positions 1759 to 1831 of the family's 1831-position model. The record is from RNAcentral. Lineage: Eukaryota; Fungi.